This 460-nucleotide long non-coding RNA is filed under the name Polistes fuscatus (common paper wasp). RNAcentral's name for it is "uncharacterized LOC122521807". The record is from RNAcentral. Lineage: Eukaryota; Metazoa; Arthropoda; Insecta; Hymenoptera; Vespidae.
UAAAUAUCAACAAAAGUAAAUGGACGCAUAUAACCAUCACGCUGCGUAAACACACAUGUCCUCCUAUGACCAUAAAUGGAGCAGCUAUACCAACCAAAGAUACAGUCAAAUACUUAAUUGGUCCCCCCUGAGAUAUCAAGCUCGGGGCUCUGGUUCCGAGAAAAAUAUUUCACAGAGUAAGAGAGACCCCUUUCCUUCCGAAAGAGAUGAGGCUAUAAAAGAAGAAGGAAUACAGAAAGAAAGAAGGGAUACAUAUGUCGGCGUAGGCGCAUGCUAGAAGAUACUAUUUUGUGUCAAGAGUGGGAAAAAUGAAUAGAGGAGAAGUAGAGUAAAUUGAGAGGAAGUAAUAUCUUACAGACGGAUAUCUUAGAGGAAGACCACUGUAUAAACCUGAUAUUAAAAAACUAUCCGAACAUAAACAACAGAAGGUUUCUCAAUAAGACUACUACAAUUUUAUUUC